This 253-nucleotide ribosomal RNA is filed under the name uncultured bacterium. RNAcentral's name for it is "partial 16S ribosomal RNA". It matches the Rfam family "Bacterial small subunit ribosomal RNA", at positions 524 to 776 of the family's 1533-position model. The record is from RNAcentral.
UACGGAGGGUGCAAGCGUUAAUCGGAAUUACUGGGCGUAAAGCGCGCGUAGGCGGUUAGGUAAGUCGAUUGUGAAAUCCCCGGGCUCAACCUGGGAAUUGCAGUCGAGACUGUCUGACUAGAGUGUAGGAGAGGGUGGUGGAAUUCCCGGUGUAGCGGUGAAAUGCGUAGAUAUCGGGAGGAACAUCAGUGGCGAAGGCGACCACCUGGCCUAACACUGACGCUGAGGUGCGAAAGCGUGGGUAGCAAACAGG